GAUGUAGGUGGCUUUGUAAGUCAGAUGUGAAAGCCCCGGGCUCAACCCGGGAAGUGCAUUUGAUACUGCGAAGCUUGAGUGCUAGAGAGGUUACUAGAAUACCUGGUGUAGUGGUGAAAUACGUAGAUAUCAGGUGGAAUACCGGAGGCGAAGGCGGGUAACCAGCUAGACACUGACACUCAGAUCCGAAAGUGUGGGGAUCAAACA
This 207-nucleotide ribosomal RNA is filed under the name uncultured delta proteobacterium. RNAcentral's name for it is "partial 16S ribosomal RNA". It matches the Rfam family "Bacterial small subunit ribosomal RNA", at positions 568 to 774 of the family's 1533-position model. Lineage: Bacteria; Deltaproteobacteria. The record is from RNAcentral.